This is a long non-coding RNA of Fukomys damarensis (Damara mole-rat), 3833 nucleotides long. RefSeq lists it as uncharacterized. The transcript has 3 exons. The record is from RefSeq and is a predicted model, not a curated record. Lineage: Eukaryota; Metazoa; Chordata; Mammalia; Rodentia; Bathyergidae.
AGGCGCCAAUGUGGCCCAGACUGCUGUUUCCUGCUUCCUGGCGGUUUGUGUAGGAGGAGCAGGAUGCGGACAGGAAGGGACAGCGCAGGCUGGUGCCACCGCUCACUUGCGAAGCCCUCCCUCUGCCCGCUGCUCGGGGCUUUCUUGGCUGGGUCUGCUCCCGACAGAAGGAACGCGUGUUGCGGGGGUGGGGGCCCAGCAUGUGUGUGUGUGAGACUGUGUGUGUGUGUGUGUUCAAAAUACAAAAAACAGAAACGUGGCUACAUCAGCUGCAGAGGCGGGCCGGCUCCAUCCCUGCCAAGUUCCCUCUGCACAGCACACGGGGCUCCAGAGGCCCGGGGAGCAGACGAGGUGAGGGCGGUGUGGAGAGCAGUGGACACCAGGCUGCCAGGGACCAGAGCCACAGACAGCACUGUGGCGAUUGCUGGAGCCACUGGAGCCACGUCGGGAGGUGGCAGCGUGCGGCCAAGGGCAGGGCCAGGAGCUGGAGAGGAGCGGCAGGCACAGUGCCUGCCUCCUGUGCUGGCGUCCGCUCCCAGGAGACUCCCGCCAGAUGUUCCGGGCCCCACGUUACUCCCUGAUGAAAUAUUCAUAGAGACUUCUGCCUUCUGACACAAAGCCUUCUGCAGCUUCCCUGGUUCCUGCUCCCAGCACCCCAGCCACAUCGCCAUUCGGCCCUCGCCUGCGAUGGACAGGUGGUGCUUCUGCACGCCUGGGGGUCACGCCAGGCCACACUGCUGGCUCUGGGGGUGAGGGGAGCACAGGGUUGUGUCCCGGUGCCCAAGAGGGCCAGAGUGUCCCCUGGCCCACCCCGGCUGCAGGGGCUCCCUCCCAACCCCAGUGCCCAUCUGGCUGCCCAGGAGGACUGGGCCUGGCCUGCGCUGGCACUUCCGGUGGCCUUCACAUCCAGCCUGAGUUUCCAGACACACAGGGGCUGAGCCCAGACUGCCUGCCCCUGGCACCCCAGCUCUCCUGAGGCCAGAUCUCGACUCAGCCACUGUCAGCAGCGACUCAGGGGCCCAGGCCUGAGAAGCACCCACUGCACUCCUGCUCCAAAUGGCUAUGCCCCAGAUGGAUGACAAGGUCCUGCUGUCCCCACUGGGGGGGCUUGGGACGGCCAACUCACUGCAGCGACAGCCACCCAUCUUGCUCUGGGCUGGGUCUUCAGCAGUCCCUGACUCUGAUGACUGUCACUACAGCAACAAGGCUGAGAAGUUUCACCCUGCCAGUCACUGGACCAAGCUAGGAGCUGUGCCAGGUGGCCCCGUCCAGUCCUGGGGUAGACGGCUCAGAGAGGUCACACUGCUCCCCAAGGCCACAGAGUGGCAGGGGCAGAGCCCGGGAUGGAGUUCUGAGUGUCCUGGAGCCCUGGCCUCGGGGCCGGACCCCUCCCGGACCUCCUCACCCUGAGGCCCUCCCCACAGGGCGGUGACAUGAGUGACCCGGUGGGUGCAGGGCUGUGUCGCCGCGUCACGCUCUCCCACACUGCUGAGGGAGCCGUGAUAAGCUGUGCGUGUGGUGUAGGACUAAUGUGCUCUGCAGAACAAAUGGUGUUCAUUUGCAGCACAGCCCGGCGCCCAAGGGCGGCCACGGCAGCUGCACCAGAAUUAACGGCCUCACGCAGAAUUAUCGAGCCAGGUGUCGCCAUCAGAGGGUCAAAGCACUGGUCCCAGGCCCCGAGGCUGCGCACCCCAGGGAGGAGGCCGGUCGAGGAAGGUUUCAGGGACCCUCUCCGCUCCCGGGGUUUCUGUGCACAGUGGGCACUGCACACUGCCUACCCGGGGGUCGCCCAUCCGGAAAGGGGCCAUUGCCGAUCAGCUGCCACCAACAUGCGACUGGGGCCAGACCUGCCCAGCUCACAAGGGCCUGGGGACCCUGGACGUCCAUGUCCUUCCUUCCCGCCCAGGGUCACACUCUGGCUCCCAACCCCGCUCACACGGGGCCUAAUUAACCUGUCCGCCUCUCUCCUGCCUAUUACUUGCUGUCGCUGCCCAGAGCUGGCGGUCCCUAUCGAUUGCUCCAAGAUGCGUGGCUCCAGCGAUCUGUCCCGCUGAGGAGCGUCUGCCCAGGUCUGAGGAGUGAGCUGCAUUUGCAUGCUGCCGCUCCAGGGUGACUCCAGGAACCCCAGCAUCUGACGAACCCUGCACAUUGCCACCCACCUACGCUGUUCGCUGACCCUGCAGGCUGCAGAGCUCCCUCUCCUCUCUGGAAAGCUGAGUGUCCAGCAGGAAGCGGAGGUCUGGACCAAGGCGCCUGUGCCGGGCAGGGGUGGGGGCGUCGCCUGUGGGUAGAAGGGUCACACGAGAACCUCUUCCCUUGGGGACACACUCAAUUCCCCCUCACAGGUCAGUGCUGGGCACACACAGGUCUUCAGUGGGCACUUCUGGAGCCAUGGUGGACAGACCCUGGGCUUAGCAUCUCAAAUCUUUAGCCAUGGGCCUCUGAGAGCAUCUGGUACAACACCCUCAAGUAUAAAUGAGGAACUCAAGGCCAGCAGAGAGGGUGCAACCGAACCAAUCACAGCCCUGGGCCUUGGCUGCAUGGGCAUGCAUCAGAGGCCAGUCCAUGUCUUCUAGCGGGGACUCUGGGGUCUGCGAUACUCUGUGACUGCACCUCAACUUGCCUCCUGGCAAGGGCUUCUAUAGAGAGCAUACUGUGAGGCUAUAGCCCAGCUGCCUCAAGUCCUCCGGUAAUGAUAGCCCAGGAGAGGUGGGACUCUCUGCUUGCUGCAAUCUCCUCGGUUGUCCUGACAACACACACAUCGUCUGGAAGCCCCGGGAUUGCUCUGUGCCACACCACUCAGGCGUGACUACCACAUUGCUGGCCCUGGCCGCAGCACACAAAGUAGCCUCUCGACCUCCUGCGAGGGCUCCUUCUUCAGCCUUUACCCCUCCCUGGAAAGUGUGUCCUUUAUGGGACAGGAAGCAGUAAAAGAUGGGCUAUGAACUUGGGAGUUGGGUGUUCAAACGACUUGGGUUCAAGUCAUCUCUGUCACUACUUAGGAUCUCUGUAUCUCUGUAAUUAGACGAAGCAAGGGUGAUAGCAGUAAUACAACAAGAGUGAGAAGGUGUGCAGAGUAGUCUGCACAAUGUUUAGCACAACAUAAGUGAGCAGAAAAUGCCAAGGCUUGUGACGAUGGUGAUAGUGAUAGUGAAAAUGGUGGCAACUAACAUGGUGCUGUUGCUCACACUACGAAUAGAUUUGCGUUGGAAUUCUUCCAGGACUUCCCACACUCUUGGGCUCACAGUGCAGAGAGGAGCCUCUCUCUCUGUGGUUACAAACUAGCGUGUCCAGCAGAAGGCCAGCUGCCUCACCAGUCCCUUCACUGGCUUCCCAAUGGACAGACCUCGAAGUGUCCAGGCCAGAGGCCACAGUGCUGCGAAGGCUCCAGGGCAGCGCUGUCCUGCAAGAGCCAGAGACAAGCUGGACAGGCACCGCAGAGUCGGAGUCCCGCCAUCUGCGUGCACUCGAGCAAAGGCAGCCUCACAAGGCCUCCUCAGAAAAGGACCCAGGAAGCCAGGGGAAGACACAGAGAGCCGGACUCGGGGUCGGUCCAAACGGCCCUGAGGUGGGGAAGGAAAGGGCAUGCAGGGCAGGGUCCCUGCUGAGCAGGCCGAGGCUGGUCGCGGGCACAGGCUGGGCUCACCGGUGGAUGAGGAGCGAGACCUGGGGUGGGAGGCAUUCCGGGCUGAACCUGUCCUUAGCUUUGUGGAUCGGAACUCCUGAACCCGCUGCUCUGUCUGUUCCUGGUACCAUGCUGCUAGUCUCUAUUCCUCCUGCUCAUAUGUCCACUUUACUGAGAAAUUCAACUGAAAAAUAAAUUUUGAGUCAGG